CAUAGGUUAAUGAGGCGAACCGGGGGAACUGAAACAUCUAAGUACCCCGAGGAAAAGAAAUCAACCGAGAUUCCCCCAGUAGCGGCGAGCGAACGGGGAGCAGCCCAGAGCCUGAAUCAGUGUGUGUGUUAGUGGAAGCGUCUGGAAAGGCGCGCGAUACAGGGUGACAGCCCCGUACACAAAAAUGCACAUAUUGUGAGCUCGAUGAGUAGGGCGGGACACGUGGUAUCCUGUCUGAAUAUGGGGGGACCAUCCUCCAAGGCUAAAUACUCCUGACUGACCGAUAGUGAACCAGUACCGUGAGGGAAAGGCGAAAAGAACCCCGGCGAGGGGAGUGAAAAAGAACCUGAAACCGUGUACGUACAAGCAGUGGGAGCCUCUUUUAUGGGGUGACUGCGUACCUUUUGUAUAAUGGGUCAGCGACUUAUAUUCUGUAGCAAGGUUAACCGAAUAGGGGAGCCGAAGGGAAACCGAGUCUUAACUGGGCGUUAAGUUGCAGGGUAUAGACCCGAAACCCGGUGAUCUAGCCAUGGGCAGGUUGAAGGUUGGGUAACACUAACUGGAGGACCGAACCGACUAAUGUUGAAAAAUUAGCGGAUGACUUGUGGCUGGGGGUGAAAGGCCAAUCAAACCGGGAGAUAGCUGGUUCUCCCCGAAAGCUAUUUAGGUAGCGCCUCGUGAAUUCAUCUCCGGGGGUAGAGCACUGUUUCGGCAAGGGGGUCAUCCCGACUUACCAACCCGAUGCAAACUGCGAAUACCGGAGAAUGUUAUCACGGGAGACACACGGCGGGUGCUAACGUCCGUCGUGAAGAGGGAAACAACCCAGACCGCCAGCUAAGGUCCCAAAGUCAUGGUUAAGUGGGAAACGAUGUGGGAAGGCCCAGACAGCCAGGAUGUUGGCUUAGAAGCAGCCAUCAUUUAAAGAAAGCGUAAUAGCUCACUGGUCGAGUCGGCCUGCGCGGAAGAUGUAACGGGGCUAAACCAUGCACCGAAGCUGCGGCAGCGACGCUUAUGCGUUGUUGGGUAGGGGAGCGUUCUGUAAGCCUGUGAAGGUGUGCUGUGAGGCAUGCUGGAGGUAUCAGAAGUGCGAAUGCUGACAUAAGUAACGAUAAAGCGGGUGAAAAGCCCGCUCGCCGGAAGACCAAGGGUUCCUGUCCAACGUUAAUCGGGGCAGGGUGAGUCGACCCCUAAGGCGAGGCCGAAAGGCGUAGUCGAUGGGAAACAGGUUAAUAUUCCUGUACUUGGUGUUACUGCGAAGGGGGGACGGAGAAGGCUAUGUUGGCCGGGCGACGGUUGUCCCGGUUUAAGCGUGUAGGCUGGUUUUCCAGGCAAAUCCGGAAAAUCAAGGCUGAGGCGUGAUGACGAGGCACUACGGUGCUGAAGCAACAAAUGCCCUGCUUCCAGGAAAAGCCUCUAAGCAUCAGGUAACAUCAAAUCGUACCCCAAACCGACACAGGUGGUCAGGUAGAGAAUACCAAGGCGCUUGAGAGAACUCGGGUGAAGGAACUAGGCAAAAUGGUGCCGUAACUUCGGGAGAAGGCACGCUGAUAUGUAGGUGAAGUCCCUUGCGGAUGGAGCUGAAAUCAGUCGAAGAUACCAGCUGGCUGCAACUGUUUAUUAAAAACACAGCACUGUGCAAACACGAAAGUGGACGUAUACGGUGUGACGCCUGCCCGGUGCCGGAAGGUUAAUUGAUGGGGUCAGCGCAAGCGAAGCUCUUGAUCGAAGCCCCGGUAAACGGCGGCCGUAACUAUAACGGUCCUAAGGUAGCGAAAUUCCUUGUCGGGUAAGUUCCGACCUGCACGAAUGGCGUAAUGAUGGCCAGGCUGUCUCCACCCGAGACUCAGUGAAAUUGAACUCGCUGUGAAGAUGCAGUGUACCCGCGGCAAGACGGAAAGACCCCGUGAACCUUUACUAUAGCUUGACACUGAACAUUGAGCCUUGAUGUGUAGGAUAGGUGGGAGGCUUUGAAGUGUGGACGCCAGUCUGCAUGGAGCCGACCUUGAAAUACCACCCUUUAAUGUUUGAUGUUCUAACGUGGACCCGUGAUCCGGGUUGCGGACAGUGUCUGGUGGGUAGUUUGACUGGGGCGGUCUCCUCCUAAAGAGUAACGGAGGAGCACGAAGGUUGGCUAAUCCUGGUCGGACAUCAGGAGGUUAGUGCAAUGGCAUAAGCCAGCUUGACUGCGAGCGUGACGGCGCGAGCAGGUGCGAAAGCAGGUCAUAGUGAUCCGGUGGUUCUGAAUGGAAGGGCCAUCGCUCAACGGAUAAAAGGUACUCCGGGGAUAACAGGCUGAUACCGCCCAAGAGUUCAUAUCGACGGCGGUGUUUGGCACCUCGAUGUCGGCUCAUCACAUCCUGGGGCUGAAGUAGGUCCCAAGGGUAUGGCUGUUCGCCAUUUAAAGUGGUACGCGAGCUGGGUUUAGAACGUCGUGAGACAGUUCGGUCCCUAUCUGCCGUGGGCGCUGGAGAACUGAGGGGGGCUGCUCCUAGUACGAGAGGACCGGAGUGGACGCAUCACUGGUGUUCGGGUUGUCAUGCCAAUGGCACUGCCCGGUAGCUAAAUGCGGAAGAGAUAAGUGCUGAAAGCAUCUAAGCACGAAACUUGCCCCGAGAUGAGUUCUCCCUGAC
This 2630-nucleotide ribosomal RNA is filed under the name Escherichia coli. RNAcentral describes it as "partial 23S ribosomal RNA". It matches the Rfam family "Bacterial large subunit ribosomal RNA". The record is from RNAcentral. Lineage: Bacteria; Pseudomonadati; Pseudomonadota; Gammaproteobacteria; Enterobacterales; Enterobacteriaceae.